GUGCCAGCCGCCGCGGUAAUACGUAAGGGGCGAGCGUUGUCCGGAAUCAUUGGGCGUAAAGGGUGCGCAGGCGGUCUGACAAGUUAGAGGUGAAAUCCAUCGGCUCAACCGAUGAACUGCCUUUAAAACUGUUAGACUUGAGGACAAGAGAAGAAAACGGAAUUCCUAGUGUAGUGGUGAAAUACGUAGAUAUUAGGAAGAACACCAAUGGCGAAAGCAGUUUUCUGGCUUGAUUCUGACGCUGAGGCACGAAAGCUAGGGGAGCAAACGGGAUUAGAUACCCGUGUAGUCC
This 292-nucleotide ribosomal RNA is filed under the name uncultured bacterium. RNAcentral describes it as "partial 16S ribosomal RNA". It matches the Rfam family "Bacterial small subunit ribosomal RNA", at positions 505 to 796 of the family's 1533-position model. The record is from RNAcentral.